CUUCUUCUUGAGCGUGUCAACGCGGUUCUUGCACUGGAUGUCGGUGCGCGGCAGGCAGCGGCGCGCGGAGGCCCCGGGGCGAGAGUUGACGGCGUCGGCGACCUCCCGCCACUGCGGCUGGCGGAGGCUCCCACGGUUGAGGUCGAGGUAGCGCGAGCCCCAGGCGUCGACAAGCGCGACCUUCUCGCCCUCGCUCCAACAGUCCUCCCAGUACGCCAGGUUCGGGUUCGGCGGCGGCAACUUCCCGUCCAUCGCUCCUCCUCCCAGAUCUCUCCGCGUCACGACGACAAUGACAACGACGACGACCUAGCCUUCUCUCAUUU
RNAcentral lists this unclassified non-coding RNA (323 nucleotides) under Zea mays. RNAcentral's name for it is "misc RNA Zm00001eb026750". The record is from RNAcentral. Lineage: Eukaryota; Viridiplantae; Streptophyta; Magnoliopsida; Poales; Poaceae.